GGAGAGGUGACCGAGUGGCCGAAGGUGCAUGAUUGGAAAUCAUGUGUAUGUGCAAGCGUACCGCGGGUUCGAAUCCCGCCCUCUCCG
This 87-nucleotide transfer RNA is filed under the name Polyangiaceae bacterium. Its description in RNAcentral is "tRNA-Ser". It matches the Rfam family "tRNA". From Rfam's summary of the family: Transfer RNA (tRNA) molecules are approximately 80 nucleotides in length. Their secondary structure includes four short double-helical elements and three loops (D, anti-codon, and T loops). Further hydrogen bonds mediate the characteristic L-shaped molecular structure. tRNAs have two regions of fundamental functional importance: the anti-codon, which is responsible for specific mRNA codon recognition, and the 3' end, to which the tRNAs corresponding amino acid is attached (by aminoacyl-tRNA synthetases). tRNAs cope with the degeneracy of the genetic code in two manners: having more than one tRNA (with a specific anti-codon) for a particular amino acid; and 'wobble' base-pairing, i.e. permitting non-standard base-pairing at the 3rd anti-codon position. The record is from RNAcentral. Lineage: Bacteria; Pseudomonadati; Myxococcota; Polyangiales; Polyangiaceae.